Molecule: RNA transcript, 2164 nt
Organism: Arvicola amphibius (Eurasian water vole)
Lineage: Eukaryota; Metazoa; Chordata; Mammalia; Rodentia; Cricetidae
Gene: Znf18
Gene name: zinc finger protein 18
Exons: 8
Source: RefSeq, a predicted model, not a curated record
CACGGAGAGUGCGCAGCCGUCCAGCUUCCGGAAGUGCGCCUGAACGGGUGGCUCGGGCAGAGCAUUGGCUCUCAUUCUUCAACAUCCCCAGAAGACGCAGUUUUCUCCAGAGACAGUUCCAUCCUGGAAGCCCCUCAUCUAAAAGGCCCUGUGAAGCCAGACAAUGCCUGUUGACUUGGGGCAGGCCCUGGGCCUGCUGCCUUCUCUGGCCAAGGCCAAAGCUGAAGAUGCCACAUUCUCUGGAUCAGAUGAUACCCAGCAAAGAGAACUCACUAACCCUGAGACUGCUCGCCAGCUUUUUAGGCAGUUUCGUUACCAGGUGAUGUCUGGGCCCCAGGAGACCCUGAGACAACUUCGAAAGCUCUGCUUCCAGUGGCUGCGGCCAGAGGUUCACAGCAAGGAGCAGAUCCUGGAGAUCCUCAUGCUGGAGCAGUUCCUGACCAUCCUUCCUGGGGAGAUCCAGACGUGGGUGCGGAAACAGUGUCCAGGCAGUGGAGAGGAGGCAGUGACCCUUGUGGAAAGCUUGAAGGGAGAUCCUCGGAGACUGUGGCAGUGGAUUGGCAUCCAGGUUCUAGGACAAGAGAUCCCGUCUGAGAAGGCAAACUCGGCACACUGCCAAGGCAGUGAGGUGGAGCCCAGACUGGAAGUGGUGCCUCAGGAACUGCCCCUUCAGAAUUCACCCUCAGCUCCUGCAGAGCUGCUGAGCCAUGGCGUGAAAGAGGAAUCAGACAUGGAGCCAGAGUUAGCUCUGGCUGCUUCUCAGCUUCCUGCUAGACCGGAGGAGAGGCCUAUCAGAGACCAGGACAUGGGAACAACGUUUCUCCCAGCAGUACAUCAGGAGCAGUGGAGGCACCUGGAUUCUACUCAGAAGGAACAGUACUGGGAUUUCAUGCUGGAGACCUAUGGGAAAAUGGUCUCAGGAGCAGGUAUUUCUAACACCAAACCUGACCUGACUAACAUAACAGAAUACGGGGAAGAGCUGGCAGGGCUGCAGCUUCACAUCAGUGAGAAGAUACCAAGACUCACCUGCAAAGAAGACAGACAAGAAAAUGACAAAGAGAACCUAAACUUGGAAAAUCACAGGGACCAGGGAUCUCUGGACGUUUUCUGUCAGGCAUCAGGUGAGGCACCACCACAGACUGACUUGGAUUUCCUCGGUGAGAGUGAGCUGCAUCGCUUUGGAGGAGAGAGUGUCCCUGAGGCUCUGGAAAGCCUUCAGGGUGAGGGAACAGGAGGGCAGCUCUUGCCUCCUGAAAGGGGCUCUGGGAGACAGCUAGGUCAGCACAUACAGAGUUCUUCUUCAGGAGAGCUGUCGUCAGCCUUGUGGCUGGAGGAGAAGAGAGAGGCCUCUCAGAAGGGACAGGCCAGAGCUCCCAUGGCCCAGAAACUGCCUACCUGCAGAGACUGUGGGAAAACCUUCUACAGGAAUUCACAGCUUGUUUUUCACCAAAGGACUCAUACUGGAGAGACAUACUUUCAUUGCCCCAUUUGCAAAAAAGCCUUUCUGCGAAGCUCAGACUUUGUGAAACAUCAGAGAACUCACACAGGAGAGAAGCCCUGUAAAUGUGAUUACUGUGGGAAAGGCUUUAGUGACUUAUCAGGCCUGCGCUACCACGAGAAAAUCCACACUGGAGAGAAACCCUAUAAAUGCCCCAUCUGUGAAAAACGAUUUAUUCAGAGGUCAAACUUUAAUAGACAUCAAAGGGUUCACACAGGUGAGAAACCUUACAAGUGUUCCCACUGCGGCAAGCGGUUCAGCUGGAGCUCCAGCCUUGACAAACAUCAGAGAUCACACUUGGGGAAGAAGCCCUGCCCAUAGCCACACCCCAGCCAGCCUGCCAGUCCAUUGCAGCCCUGCUCAGCUCUGCCUGGAGGGACUGUGACCAAAAAGGACCUCUUCUCUCUGAAGAAGCUGGUCUCUUACUUCAGACCCCUUGGGAAAGACAUGUCAUGUAGAUAAUGGCUUUAGUAGCUCUCUCUGUGGUAUGGCCACAAUGCUGUUGGCAGUGAGAACCUCAGAUCAGCUUUAGAACUAUGGUUCUAGAGUAGGCUGAUUAUUGCAGAAGGGGAGGUAGGGAGGCCUGAGUGCAUGCUGUCUUUGUCCAACAGGUGACAAAGUUCUCCUUUAACUGUCCCUUAUUUGAAAUAAACUGAACUAAUCUGG